GAUGAACGCUGGCGGCGUGCUUAACACAUGCAAGUCGAACGGGAUCCCGGGGGUUCGCCUCCGGGUGAGAGUGGCGAACGGGUGAGUAAUGCGUGACCGACCUGCCCCAUACACCGGAAUAGCUCCUGGAAACGGGUGGUAAUGCCGGAUGCUCCGGUUGGAUGCAUGUCCUUCCGGGAAAGAUUCUAUCGGUAUGGGAUGGGGUCGCGUCCUAUCAGCUUGAUGGCGGGGUAACGGCCCACCAUGGCUUCGACGGGUAGCCGGCCUGAGAGGGCGACCGCCCACAUUGGGAAUGAGAUACGGCCCAGACUCCUACGGGAGGCAGCAGUGGGGAAUAUUGCACAAUGGGCGCAAGCCUGAUGCAGCGACGCCGCGUGCGGGAUGGAGGCCUUCGGGUUGUAAG
Molecule: ribosomal RNA, 403 nt
Filed under: Bifidobacterium dentium
Lineage: Bacteria; Bacillati; Actinomycetota; Actinomycetes; Bifidobacteriales; Bifidobacteriaceae
Description: bacterial SSU rRNA
Rfam family: Bacterial small subunit ribosomal RNA
Source: RNAcentral